Long non-coding RNA from Sapajus apella (tufted capuchin), 145 nucleotides. RefSeq lists it as uncharacterized. NCBI's taxonomy places the organism in Eukaryota, Metazoa, Chordata, Mammalia, Primates, Cebidae. The record is from RefSeq and is a predicted model, not a curated record. The transcript has 3 exons.
GUGCUGUGUAAUGGGUAUGAUUUUGGUUUUUUGAAAUUUGCUGAGGAUUGUUUUAUGUCUGAAUGUGUGGUUGAUGUUAGAGUAUGUGCCAUAUUUAGAUGAGAAUGUGUAUUCUAUUGUUUUGGGUGGAGAGUUCUUUAGAUGU